RNAcentral lists this unclassified non-coding RNA (282 nucleotides) under plant metagenome. RNAcentral's name for it is "partial contains small subunit ribosomal RNA, internal transcribed spacer 1, and 5.8S ribosomal RNA". The stretch from base 235 to 282 matches the Rfam family "5.8S ribosomal RNA", at positions 1 to 49 of the family's 154-position model. The record is from RNAcentral.
UUUCCGUAGGUGAACCUGCGGAAGGAUCAUUAUUGUAUAACCGAGGUGCGAGGGCUGUCGCUGUCCCGAAAGGUCGUGCACGCCCGAGUGCCCUCACACACAUCCAUCUCACCCCUAUGUGCACCACCGCGUGGGUCCCCCUUUGGCUUGUUCGGAGGGGGGCUUACGUUUUCACACAAACUUUGUAUGCAGUGUAGAAUGUAUUUUUUGUUUUUGCGAUCACGCAAUCAAUACAACUUUCAACAACGGAUCUCUUGGCUCUCGCAUCGAUGAGAACGCAGC